RNAcentral lists this ribosomal RNA (652 nucleotides) under uncultured bacterium. RNAcentral's name for it is "bacterial SSU rRNA". It matches the Rfam family "Bacterial small subunit ribosomal RNA", at positions 56 to 755 of the family's 1533-position model. The record is from RNAcentral.
UGCAGUCGAGCGAGAUCUUCGGGUCUAGCGGCGGACGGGUGAGUAACGCGUGGGAAUAUGCCCUUCUCUACGGAAUAGCCUCGGGAAACUGAGAGUAAUACCGUAUACGCCCUUUGGGGGAAAGAUUUAUCGGAGAAGGAUUAGCCCGCGUUGGAUUAGGUAGUUGGUGGGGUAAUGGCCUACCAAGCCGACGAUCCAUAGCUGGUUUGAGAGGAUGAUCAGCCACACUGGGACUGAGACACGGCCCAGACUCCUACGGGAGGCAGCAGUGGGGAAUCUUAGACAAUGGGGGCAACCCUGAUCUAGCCAUGCCGCGUGAGUGAUGAAGGCCUUAGGGUUGUAAAGCUCUUUCAGCUGGGAAGAUAAUGACGGUACCAGCAGAAGAAGUCCCGGCUAACUCCGUGCCAGCAGCCGCGGUAAUACGGAGGGGACUAGCGUUGUUCGGAAUUACUGGGCGUAAAGCGCACGUAGGCGGACCAGAAAGUUGGGGGUGAAAUCCCGGGGCUCAACCCCGGAACUGCCUUCAAAACUAUUGGUCUGGAGUUCGAGAGAGGUGAGUGGAAUUCCGAGUGUAGAGGUGAAAUUCGUAGAUAUUCGGAGGAACACCAGUGGCGAAGGCGGCUCACUGGCUCGAUACUGACGCUGAGGUGCG